AGUUCAUGACACACAGGAUAUUGUCUGAACAUAAUGAUUUCAAAAUCUCAGCUUAAAGUGACACUCUAAAAUA
This 73-nucleotide small nucleolar RNA is filed under the name Spermophilus dauricus (Daurian ground squirrel). RNAcentral's name for it is "Small nucleolar RNA SNORD107 (ENSSDAG00000003476.1)". It matches the Rfam family "Small nucleolar RNA SNORD107". Lineage: Eukaryota; Metazoa; Chordata; Mammalia; Rodentia; Sciuridae. The record is from Rfam by way of RNAcentral.